RNAcentral lists this ribosomal RNA (265 nucleotides) under Escherichia coli. Its description in RNAcentral is "partial 23S ribosomal RNA". It matches the Rfam family "Bacterial large subunit ribosomal RNA", at positions 1641 to 1888 of the family's 2925-position model. The record is from RNAcentral. Lineage: Bacteria; Pseudomonadati; Pseudomonadota; Gammaproteobacteria; Enterobacterales; Enterobacteriaceae.
AUCGUACCCCAAACCGACACAGGUGGUCAGGUAGAGAAUACCAAGGCGCUUGAGAGAACUCGGGUGAAGGAACUAGGCAAAAUGGUGCCGUAACUUCGGGAGAAGGCACGCUGAUACGUAGGUGAAGUCCCUUGCGGAUGGAGCUGAAAUCAGUCGAAGAUACCAGCUGGCUGCAACUGUUUAUUAAAAACACAGCACUGUGCAAACACGAAAGUGGACGUAUACGGUGUGACGCCUGCCCGGUGCCGGAAGGUUAAUUGAUGGG